GAUGAAGAACGUAGCGAAAUGCGAUAAGUAGUGUGAAUUGCAGAAUUCAGUGAAUCAUCGAAUCUUUGAACGCACAUUGCGCCCCUUGGUAUUCCAUGGGGCAUGCCUGUUCGAGCGUCAUUUGUACCUUCAAGCUCUGCUUGGUGUUGGGUGUUUGUCUCGCCUCUGCGUGUAGACUCGCCUCAAAAUAAUUGGCAGCCGGCGUAUUGAUUUCGGAGCGCAGUACAUCUCGCGCUUUGCACUCAUAACGACGACGUCCAAAAGUACAUUUUACACUCUUGACCUCGGAUCAGGUAGGGAUACCCGCUGAACUUAAGCAUAUCAAUAAGCGGAGGA
RNAcentral lists this unclassified non-coding RNA (336 nucleotides) under soil metagenome. Its description in RNAcentral is "partial contains 5.8S ribosomal RNA, internal transcribed spacer 2, and large subunit ribosomal RNA". The stretch from base 1 to 120 matches the Rfam family "5.8S ribosomal RNA", at positions 35 to 154 of the family's 154-position model. The record is from RNAcentral.